RNAcentral lists this ribosomal RNA (273 nucleotides) under Triticum aestivum (bread wheat). RNAcentral describes it as "partial small subunit ribosomal RNA". The record is from RNAcentral. Lineage: Eukaryota; Viridiplantae; Streptophyta; Magnoliopsida; Poales; Poaceae.
AUGGUGUGGGAGCCAUCCAAGGAUUUGAAGCACCUGAACUUGAAGGUGCUGGUGAUCUGCGGGUGCGAGGAUGAAGACAACGUGACAAACUAUGUAAGGCUUGUCAUGGAACGAGCUGUGGGGCUGUUGUUAAUCCAGCUGCGUGGUGAAUUCUCAUGCAUGGUCUGCAACGCCACCAACCUUGACAGAUCCAAGGCGGAGAAAGCUAGCAGGCACCGGAUUAAGGAGCGACUCACGCAUGGAUCAUCCUCAUCUGUGGAGAUAAUAAUCUGA